CCUACGGGUGGCUGCAGUAAGGGAUAUUGGUCAAUGGGGGAAACCCUGAACCAGCAACGCCGCGUGAGGGAAGACGGUUUUCGGAUUGUAAACCUCUGUCCUCUGUGAAGAUGAUGACGGUAGCAGAGGAGGAAGCACCGGCUAACUACGUGCCAGCAGCCGCGGUAAUACGGAGGGAGCGAGCGUUGUCCGGAUUUACUGGGGGUAAAGGGUGCGUAGGCGGGUUUGCAAGUCAGUCGUGAAAUCCAUGGGCUUAACCCAUGAACUGCUAUUGAAACUGUGGAGCUUGAGUGAAGUAGAGGUAGGCGGAAUUCCUGGUGUAGCGGUGAAAUGCGUAGAGAUCAGGAGGAACACCAAUGGCGAAGGCGGCCUACUGGG
RNAcentral lists this ribosomal RNA (378 nucleotides) under uncultured bacterium. Its description in RNAcentral is "partial 16S ribosomal RNA". It matches the Rfam family "Bacterial small subunit ribosomal RNA", at positions 338 to 733 of the family's 1533-position model. The record is from RNAcentral.